GGGAGGCGAUGGCGCUCGACUUCGGAGGCUGGGCCAGGUCAGACAUUACAGCCUCUAGCCUGGUCCCGUGGGUUGUUUUCUCAGGGGGCAGCCGGCGGCCACGUCGUGGGGACAGUCCUCUGCAGUGGCCCACGUGGAAAGAAACCGGUUUGUCACCCCGGGUCGCCGGCCAUGUGAGUGAGGCACCUGGGAAGCAGAUCUCCAGCCCCAGCUCGCAGGAAGAUGCCUGAAGCCGCCACCCCAGAUUUGUCUCACCCAGCAGCUGCUGUAGGACUCCAUUCAUUCUCCUGCAGAUGAUAGAGCACUUGAUAAAUCACUUUCACAUCUGA
Hyaena hyaena (striped hyena) is the source of this 329-nucleotide long non-coding RNA. RefSeq lists it as uncharacterized. The record is from RefSeq and is a predicted model, not a curated record. Lineage: Eukaryota; Metazoa; Chordata; Mammalia; Carnivora; Hyaenidae. The transcript has 2 exons.